This 255-nucleotide ribosomal RNA is filed under the name uncultured bacterium. Its description in RNAcentral is "partial 16S ribosomal RNA". It matches the Rfam family "Bacterial small subunit ribosomal RNA", at positions 526 to 779 of the family's 1533-position model. The record is from RNAcentral.
CGGAUGGGGCUAGCGUUGUUCGGAAUUACUGGGCGUAAAGCGCACGUAGGCGGACCGGAAAGUUGGAGGUGAAAUCCCAGGGCUCAACCUUGGAACUGCCUUCAAAACUAUCGGUCUGGAGUUCGAGAGAGGUGAGUGGAAUUCCGAGUGUAGAGGUGAAAUUCGUAGAUAUUCGGAGGAACACCAGUGGCGAAGGCGGCUCACUGGCUCGAUACUGACGCUGAGGUGCGAAAAGCGUGGGGAGCAAACAGGAUU